RNAcentral lists this ribosomal RNA (410 nucleotides) under uncultured prokaryote. Its description in RNAcentral is "bacterial SSU rRNA". It matches the Rfam family "Archaeal small subunit ribosomal RNA", at positions 26 to 441 of the family's 1478-position model. The record is from RNAcentral.
ACUGCUAUUGGGAUUCGACUAAGCCAUGCGAGUCUAUGGACUUCGGUCCAUGGCGGACGGCUCAGUAACACGUGGUUAACCUACCCUUAGGUGGGGGAUAACCUUGGGAAACUGAGGAUAAUACCCCAUAGGAAAAGAGGUUUGGAAUAAUCCUUUUCUGAAAGGACAUCCGCCUAAGGAUGGGACUGCGUCUGAUUAGGUAGUUGGUGGGGUAAUGGCCCACCAAGCCUACGAUCAGUACGGGCCUUGAGAGAGGGAGCCCGGAGAUGGGGACUGAGACACGGCCCCAGGCCCUACGGGGCGCAGCAGGCGCGAAACCUCCACAAUGCACGAAAGUGCGAUGGGGGAAUCCCAAGUGCCUAUGUAAAACAUAGGCUUUUCCCAAGUUUAAACAACUUGGGGAAUAAGGG